UACGUAGGGGGCAAGCGUUGUCCGGAUUUAUUGGGCGUAAAGCGCGCGCAGGCGGUCUCUUAAGUCUGAUGUGAAAGCCCCCGGCUCAACCGGGGAGGGUCAUUGGAAACUGGGAGACUUGAGUGCAGAAGAGAAGAGCGGAAUUCCACGUGUAGCGGUGAAACGGGUAGAGAUGUGGAGGAACACCAGUGGCGAAGGCGGCUCUUUGGUCUGUAACUGACGCUGAGGCGCGAAAGCGUGGGGAGCGAACAGG
This 253-nucleotide ribosomal RNA is filed under the name uncultured bacterium. RNAcentral describes it as "partial 16S ribosomal RNA". It matches the Rfam family "Bacterial small subunit ribosomal RNA", at positions 524 to 776 of the family's 1533-position model. The record is from RNAcentral.